This is a non-coding RNA of Chrysemys picta bellii (western painted turtle), 264 nucleotides long. NCBI's taxonomy places the organism in Eukaryota, Metazoa, Chordata, Testudines, Emydidae. The record is from RefSeq and is a predicted model, not a curated record.
AAUUCUUCUAAUGAAGGAGUCAGAAAACGUGGAAGACUACUGCAUAUACUGCAACCUCGUCAACUGUGAAAAGGAAAGUGAGGAUUGCACGAUGGUACAGUGUGAUUCUUGCAAGAGAUGGGCACAUAUGCCCAGCAUUACAGAAGGAACCAAUCAAGACUACCUGACUGAUGACAAGAAAGAGAACAACUGCAAAAAAUGUGCAUAGUUCACUUCUUUACCCCCCCCAAAAAUUGUUUAAAUGCCUCUUGUUCAAAACAUAAU